Oncorhynchus keta (chum salmon) is the source of this 582-nucleotide long non-coding RNA. RefSeq lists it as uncharacterized. The record is from RefSeq and is a predicted model, not a curated record. Lineage: Eukaryota; Metazoa; Chordata; Actinopteri; Salmoniformes; Salmonidae. The transcript is spliced from 3 exons.
UCUGACUCUAACCACCUUCAGGACCGUGCCCAGGUCUACAACAGGAAACAUACAUCAGUAUUCAGUUAUCUAUCUGACUCUAACCACCUUCAGGACUGUGCCCAGGUCUACAACAGGAAACAUACAUCAGUAUUCAGUUAUCUCUCUGACUCUAACCACCUUCAGGACCGUGCCCAGGUCUACAACAGGAAACAUACAUCAGUAUUCAGUUAUCUAUCUGACUCUAACCACCUUCAGGACCGUGCCCAGGUCUACAACAGGAAACAUACAUCAGUAUUCAGUUAUCUCUCUGACUCUAACCACCUACAGGACCGUGCCCAGGUCUACAACAGGAAACAUACAUCAGUAUUCAGUUAUCUCUCUGACUCUAACCACCUACAGGACCGUGCCCAGGUCUACAACAGGAAACAUACAUCAGUAUUCAGUUAUCUCUCUGACUCUAACCACCUACAGGACCGUGCCCAGGUCUACAACAGGAAACAUACAUCAGUAUUCAGUUAUCUCUCUGACUCUAACCACCUACAGGACCGUGCCCAGGUCUACAACAGGAAACAUACAUCAGUAUUCAGUUAUCUCUCUGAC